RNAcentral lists this ribosomal RNA (253 nucleotides) under uncultured bacterium. RNAcentral describes it as "partial 16S ribosomal RNA". It matches the Rfam family "Bacterial small subunit ribosomal RNA", at positions 524 to 776 of the family's 1533-position model. The record is from RNAcentral.
UACAGAGGGUGCGAGCGUUGUCCGGAAUCACUGGGCGUAAAGGGCGCGUAGGUGGCGGCCCAAGUCCAUGGUGAAAGCUCGAUGCUCAACAUCGAGUCGGCCACGGAUACUGGGUUGCUCGGGCACUGUAGGGGCAGAUGGAAUUCCGGGUGUAGCGGUGGAAUGCGUAGAGAUCCGGAAGAACACCGGUGGCGAAGGCGGUCUGCUGGGCAGUUGCUGACACUGAGGCGCGACAGCGUGGGGAGCAAACAGG